AACGAACGCUGGCGGCAGGCUUAACACAUGCAAGUCGAACGGUUGUAGCAAUACAGCAGUGGCAGACGGGUGAGUAACACGUGGGAACCUUCCUAGGGGUACGGAACAACUCAGGGAAACUUGAGCUAAUACCGUAUACGUCCGUGAGGAGAAAGAUUUAUCGCCCUUAGACGGGCCCGCGUCGGAUUAGCUAGUUGGUGGGGUAAGGGCAUACCAAGGCGACGAUCCGUAGCUGAUCUUAGAGGAUGAUCAGCCACACUGGGACUGAGACACGGCCCAGACUCCUACGGGAGGCAGCAGUGGGGAAUCUUGGACAAUGGGCGCAAGCCUGAUCCAGCCAUGCCGCGUGAGUGAAGAAGGUCUUCGGAUUGUAAAGCUCUUUUGCCAGGGACGAUAAUGACGGUACCUGGAGAAUAAGCCCCGGCAAACUUCGUGCCAGCAGCCGCGGUAA
Molecule: ribosomal RNA, 451 nt
Filed under: uncultured bacterium
Lineage: Bacteria
Description: partial 16S ribosomal RNA
Rfam family: Bacterial small subunit ribosomal RNA
Source: RNAcentral